This is a long non-coding RNA of Hylaeus volcanicus, 333 nucleotides long. RefSeq lists it as uncharacterized. The record is from RefSeq and is a predicted model, not a curated record. The transcript is spliced from 3 exons. Lineage: Eukaryota; Metazoa; Arthropoda; Insecta; Hymenoptera; Colletidae.
CAGAUGAUGCGCUUUGUCUCUCAGAUGUCAAACCUGACCAGACGCUUUUGACUAAUACAACUAUGGAGAACCAAUCCUUCAAUAAGCUCGAAAAUUCUACAGUUAUGAAAUACGACUCUGCUGAAUCUAUUUUUUUAGAUCGUAUUAGAGCACUACAAUAUGAAAAUAGUAUUCUUUUAACCAAUAUAUCAACUUUGUAUUAUACAGCACGUCAGGAAUUGGAAGAAAAAAAUAAAUAUAUCACAUCUUUACAAAAACAAAUUGCUUCUUUAAAAAAAGAAUAAUCGCAGCAUGCGUUAUUGUUCUAUUUAACAAACAAUAAAAAAAAAUGAG